This 259-nucleotide ribosomal RNA is filed under the name uncultured bacterium. RNAcentral describes it as "partial 16S ribosomal RNA". It matches the Rfam family "Bacterial small subunit ribosomal RNA", at positions 526 to 779 of the family's 1533-position model. The record is from RNAcentral.
CGAAGGGGCGUAGCGUUGUUCGGAAUCACUGGGCGGUAAAAGGGUGGCGUAGGCGGGAGUCUUAAGUCAGGGGUGGAAAUCCCGAGGCUCAACCUCGGAACUGCCUUUGAUACUGGGGUCCUUGAGUCCGGAAGAGGUGAGUAGAACUGCGAGUGUAGAGGUGAAAUUCGUAGAUAUUCGCAAGAACACCGGUGGCGAAGGCGGCUCACUGGUCCGGAACUGACGCUGAGGCACGACAGCGUGGGGAGCAAACAGGAUU